RNAcentral lists this transfer RNA (79 nucleotides) under Pangasius djambal. Its description in RNAcentral is "tRNA-Arg". The record is from RNAcentral. Lineage: Eukaryota; Metazoa; Chordata; Actinopteri; Siluriformes; Pangasiidae.
GGCACUGAUUAAGCCUAAUGGAUAAGGCACUGCCCUCCUAAGCCAGGGACUGUGGGUUCGAGUACCAUCUGGGGUGCCA